Molecule: ribosomal RNA, 236 nt
Filed under: uncultured bacterium
Lineage: Bacteria
Description: partial small subunit ribosomal RNA
Rfam family: Bacterial small subunit ribosomal RNA
Source: RNAcentral
AGGAUGAACGCUGGCGGCGUGCCUAAUACAUGCAAGUCGAACGAGGUCUUCGGACCGAGUGGCGAACGGGUGAGUAACACGUUGGUACCUAUCCCGAAGUGGGGAAUAACUGCCCGAAAGGGUGGCUAAUACCGCAUAAUACCGCAAGGUUAAAGCAGUAAUGCGCUUCGGGAGGGGCCUGCGUCCCAUUAGCUAGUUGGUAGGGUAAUGGCCUACCAAGGCGACGACGGGUAGCC